Molecule: ribosomal RNA, 251 nt
Filed under: uncultured prokaryote
Description: partial 16S ribosomal RNA
Rfam family: Bacterial small subunit ribosomal RNA
Source: RNAcentral
UACGGAGGAUGCAAGCGUUAUCCGGAUUCAUUGGGUUUAAAGGGUGCGUAGGCGGACUAUUAAGUCAGUGGUGAAAGCCUGCAGCUUAACUGCAGAACUGCCAUUGAUACUGAUAGUCUUGAGUUUGGUUAAGGUAGGCGGAAUGUGUAAUGUAGCGGUGAAAUGCAUAGAUAUUACACAGAACACCGAUUGCGAAGGCAGCUUACUAAUCCAUCAUUGACGCUGAGGCACGAAAGCGUGGGGAUCAAACA